Non-coding RNA from Trichobilharzia regenti, 50 nucleotides. NCBI's taxonomy places the organism in Eukaryota, Metazoa, Platyhelminthes, Trematoda, Strigeidida, Schistosomatidae. The record is from Rfam.
GUACUGAUGAAGAGUCCCAAACCAGGACGAAACAGCUGGCUUUCCAGUAC